UUUUUAAAAUAUCUUAUUAAUAACAUCUAUUCAUUGAAAACACAAUUGGGGUUAUUCAUAGUGAUUAGUCCCCCUCAAUGUUUAUGAUUCCGUAGCACAUGACUUGUCUUUAUAUUUGCGGGUUUUAGUGCGUUUCCAAAAAAAAAAAUCAAAGGUUGUGGUAGAGAGAGGAAGCACUAUAACCGAGUAGGAGCUCCAGACAGCCAGUUAUAUGGAGGGUGUCCAAGGAGAAUAUUCGUAAUUUUUUUGGAAGAUGGAAAAUGCGUACAAGCUCAAUUGUGGAGUGGGAGGUUACUGGUAAGGUGUAUUCGGGAAAUUGAAGGGUGAAUCCGCGGAGGAAACAGUGAGCUUUUUCUUCAAUUAUAUUCAGGCAAAGCAAAAGCCCGCAAACAGCCAUUGAUGGAUCCCAAUGAAGCUCCAUUAUCAACUUCUCCGUCAAACUUCAAUUUCAGCCAGCAACGUCAUUUUUACCUAGCCGUCGACAGAUUUCAGUUCAAAAUGGAGACUUUGGUGGAUCUGUUGGGGAUGGCUGGCCGGCUUCGGUGUUUACCUAUUGUAGUUAGCUGCAGCACUCGUGACGAGCUCGACGCUGUCUGCUCCGCCCUUUCCACUCUUUCACAUACUACUAUUGCCGCUCUGUACAGUGAUCUUGCUGAAGCGGAACGUGCAAGGGUUUUAGCUAGGUUUAGACAGGCUACAAUGAGGUGGAACAAGCAGGCUACAACUGAACAUGGAGAUGCAGGGGAAACGGAGAAAGAAGAGGAGAAAUCUAAUUUGAUAGUUGUCACCGAUGCUUGCCUUCCCCUUGUUAACUCUGGCGAAUCACCUGUCAAUGCUCGUGUCUUGAUUAAUUACGAGCUACCAACAAAGAAGGAAACAUAUAUGAGGCGCAUGGCUACUUGUUUGGCAGCAGAUGGAAUUGUGAUCAACAUGGUUGUUGGAGGCGAAGUUGUUACUCUCAAAAGCAUUGAAGAAAAUAGUGGCCUUCUCAUAGCAGAAAUGCCCAUCAAUAUUUUUGAGAUGCUGUGAAGGGAUGAGGCCCUGCAAAUGUCAUCUAAACACAUGAGAUUCCAAGUAAUUAGUGCUUUGUCAAUUUUAUGGGCGCAAAUGAGGGUUGAUGACCUGGCCGUUUUUCUUGGGGGGAACGGGGCUAUACAAAUUUAUUAGCAAUCUGAAGGUACUCUACACGAGAUGUGAAUUAGGGAAGAUUCAAAUGGUCGCUAUGUUUAUGUUGGAGCAAUUGGGGUCUUCCGCACGUAAAAUCUUUAUUGGACCUUGUCAAUUUACCUCAGUUCAUUUGUGCAUGAUGCUCAAUGUUGAUUAUAUAAAUGGUAGUUAGGAGGUUGCAUUCUUGAUUUCAACCCUCCAAGGGAUUAUGCCCUAGAAGGGUCCCGUUAUCUUGAAACCCAGGGAUCGGUGAUGCUUUUGUGCCAAUCAAUGUUUCUAGAUGAUCUGUGGAGUUCUUGUUCUUGGCUUUAGUCAUUUCCAUAGCUUCACUUUUCAAUUUUUACUUGAAUAGUCCACUAUCUUUCACAAAUGCGGCCACUGAACUUGGUUAGCUGUAGCCACUGGCACAUUAUCACAGUUUUCCGUCACGGGUUAUUGCAUGAGAAAGGGGAGGGACAACCUAUAUUCUUUGCUGCCAACUAAUAUGGCCUUACUUUGAAAUUACAAGAUUUUGACUUGGAGGACUUUUAGUGUUACCGUUGUUGAACUUAAAUGAAUUGAUCAUCUAAUAGGCAUAGAGCUGGACACCGUAAUAAGUGUUUGUAAUAUUGUAAUUCCAAUUUUCUGAGAGAAGAGAAGUUGAUAGAAGGAAAAGAGAAUCAUAGUAUAAAGACAAGAGAGAACAACUUCUUUAAUCUGUUACUAGUAUGUAUUAUUAUCUUAGUCAGUUUGCUCAAAGUCUUCAUCUCUAUUUCAUCAUAUAUCUUUUAUCCCCAUUCAAAGAGUGAUUUGGUUGGGACCGGGAGAUUGGUCUGAAGCCAAAUAAACUAAUUGGGAGCUUUCUAAGAAGAUUUUGGAAUAGACCUGCUCAGGCCCAGAUCAAUGAAUGAGUUGCAUGAUGUGGAGCAGAUUUUUUAGGUCUAGCUUUUAGUCCCCACACUGUUAAAUAGGUUAUAUUUAUGUCUGCUUUGAAGAUAAUGACAUCCAUUAAAAUCUUGACUCCAAGAGGUUAGAUGUGUACCAUUUGAAGCUUCUUGUUGUAAAUUUGUGGAUUUUAACCAACACUUUAAACUA
RNA transcript from Nicotiana tabacum (common tobacco), 2241 nucleotides. It is a transcript of the gene named ATP-dependent RNA helicase FAL1, with no coding region annotated. The record is from RefSeq and is a predicted model, not a curated record. Lineage: Eukaryota; Viridiplantae; Streptophyta; Magnoliopsida; Solanales; Solanaceae.